AUAAACUGUAAUCAACGUCCAAUUAUGCCACUUGCAAUGAGAUAAUUACUUGGCAGGUGUAUGUCACUUCCAACCCCAAGAGAGGACGGGAUGGUGGAUGAAUAAUCCCAUGCCUUCACCUCCCAGAUUAGGAAGUGUUCCAUGUACGCGUAGUCGCAGAUUCACAGUGGGAAAUUCAACAAUCGGGUAAAUACAGUUAUAUGCUUGAAGGACAUGGCCCUCUGAAAAGGUUUAAAGAGGAUUACGACAGACAGUGAUACGACGUAAAUCUGCUCUCCACUCGUCUCCAGACCCUGUCCUCCCAGAGGCUUCAGUGCGGACAUUGGUACUUCUACCAGGUCUCUACUGGGCUGGGACAGCACCUCUGCCAACUUCUUCGUCCUUCCAUCUCUCCUCUCCUCCUUCCUGUCCUGCUCUCUCCCUUUAGUGGGCGAGGAGGGAUGAGCGCAUGCACUCCGUAUCCCCGCCUCCACUACCUCUGGCUGUGUCUCAGGCUGCUCAUUUUGGUUCUGGGGCUCCUCUGCUCCCCCUGGGGCCCCUCUCUCCUUGCCCUCUUCUGUGGCCCCAGGACCCUCAUCAUGUCCCAGUGGUACCUGUGUGGUGAGGGCGCUGGAGGAGGUAUGACCCAGGACUGUUGCAGUUCCCUCAUGGCCAUGAUCCUGUCCUGCUGCUGAGCCAGCCGCUGCAUCUCCGUCUGCAGGAACCCCAGGGACGUGUUCAGCCUCUCGAUGGAGCUGGUGUACUCAGCCAGGUCCACCUCUCCAGCCACUAACCCUGGAGCAAGACACAGCGGACACGUCUACUUUAUAAGGGGGACUUGGGAGCGGCUCCAUCGGGCUUGCACCUCUCCGCCUGGCCCAGACUGCCUGACGGGGUGAGAAGGGGGUCUGGGGAGGAUUUGUCCAGGUCUGGGCCCCCAGGGAUGGGGCUGGUGGGAGAGGGGGUUAUCCCUUUCCGUCUCACCACGUUGAGGAAGGCUGUCCGGCCCAUCUUCUGACGAUGCCGGGUGAACGCUGCCUCCACCUGAAACAGUGACAAAAAUUGUUGAUUAUUUCAGCACAUUUUUUAUAACCAAUGAACAUGCUGGCUUGGUAUCCUAAAUUAUCCAACAAGAUGAUGGUUCAAAUGAAGUGAUUUCU
RNAcentral lists this long non-coding RNA (1139 nucleotides) under Salmo salar (Atlantic salmon). RNAcentral's name for it is "lncRNA (ENSSSAG00000103275.1)". Lineage: Eukaryota; Metazoa; Chordata; Actinopteri; Salmoniformes; Salmonidae. The record is from RNAcentral.